RNAcentral lists this ribosomal RNA (501 nucleotides) under uncultured Glomeromycotina. Its description in RNAcentral is "partial small subunit ribosomal RNA". It matches the Rfam family "Eukaryotic small subunit ribosomal RNA", at positions 591 to 1092 of the family's 1831-position model. The record is from RNAcentral. Lineage: Eukaryota; Fungi; Glomeromycota.
CCAAUAGCGUAUAUUAAAGUUGUUGCAGUUAAAAAGCUCGUAGUUGAACUUCGGGGUUUACUCAUUGGUCAGGCUUAAUUGUCUGUACUGGUGAGAUGAAUCUCUACCUUCUGAGGAACUUUCAUGCCAUUUAUUUGGUGUGAUGGGAAAUCAGGACUGUUACUUUGAAAAAAUUAGAGUGUUUAAAGCAGGCUAACGUCUGAAUACAUUAGCAUGGAAUAAUGAAAUAGGACGUUUGAUUCUAUUUUGUUGGUUUCUAGGAUCGACGUAAUGAUUAAUAGGGAUAGUUGGGGGCAUUAGUAUUCAAUUGUCAGAGGUGAAAUUCUUGGAUUUAUUGAAGACUAACUACUGCGAAAGCAUUUGCCAAGGAUGUUUUCAUUAAUCAAGAACGAAAGUUAGGGGAUCGAAGACGAUCAGAUACCGUCGUAGUCUUAACCAUAAACUAUGCCGACUAGGGAUCGGAUGAUGUUAAUUUUAUAAUGACUCAUUCGGCGCCUUACG